CAAGAUUCUUUUUGAGGACAUCAACCACCAGAAGAAAAUAUUAAAGGAAAAAGGAAUGACAGUUGAUGGUAGACAUUACACCGUUGAAUUUCUGGUUGUACUGGACUACAAGACCUUGGUACUUCUUUUGGUGAAGAAGAUGAAUGCUUCAUUCAUGUUAGGUGGUAGAGGUGUCAGUGUCGAGUUCUGUUUCAUCUGCAAUGCUAUCAGGGGUUGCAAAUGCCAUGAUGUUGCUCCAGAUGAGACAUGCCUGGAUUGCCUCAGAAGCAAAUGCAACAUGGGAAGAUCAACUGGUAUACGAGAUGAUCUGGUUUUUCUUUUGGACGAAGAGCUUUGCAACAUUCAACUUUGUGCUCUCCAUAUGGAGAUGCGCAACACUGAACAGUUGUUGGCAUCCAUUGGUCUUCUUGCAUACAGGGUAGAUUCCCUAGCAGAGGCCAAUGCUGCCUUGAAAAACUAUGGCCCAGAGUCAUUUCAUGGCGAUCGCAUCUCAGUAAAGAAGAAGUCAGAUCAACAGUCUGCUAUUACAAAGCAGAAUAUCCAUGUCAGUUCAAUGUCUGGUCCAACAGAUCGGGAAAUCCUUCAACACCUUGAAGAAAUUGUAGAACUUGCCCUACCACUGGAUAAAUUCAAGAAGCCGUAUGAAGAUGUGAACACGGCAAAAAAUUUGAUCCUUAACAGAGUUACAUUUUACCAGGCUCGUGUUGAUGUUAGUAAGAAGCAACUAUUAUUUUUAUACUUGCAACUUGAUUUAACAUCAUGUAGUCAAGAUCAUUGGUAAUGUGUAUUCAUUGAGUUCAUACAGCGUCCAGACGAUCCGUCGGAGUGCGCUUUAGGAAUCAAAUACCUCUUACUUUUCAGGAGCUUUAAGCAAGGGCACUUUUGUAAGAGAUUUUGGUACACAUACUGAGAUAAUUGAUUUGGAAGGCUCAGAUAUUAAAGCUGACAUGGAGCCUCGCCUUGUUCAGUGGCAAGGCAAGUUGGAUGAGCUACAUGUCUUUUUCAAGAAGUUGUGCAAGUCAC
Non-coding RNA from Pocillopora verrucosa, 1023 nucleotides. Lineage: Eukaryota; Metazoa; Cnidaria; Anthozoa; Scleractinia; Pocilloporidae. The record is from RefSeq and is a predicted model, not a curated record.